This 29-nucleotide ribosomal RNA is filed under the name Trichoderma sp. RNAcentral describes it as "partial 18S ribosomal RNA". Lineage: Eukaryota; Fungi; Ascomycota; Sordariomycetes; Hypocreales; Hypocreaceae. The record is from RNAcentral.
CCGUAAGGUGAACCUGCGGAGGGAUCAUU